CAGUAGCCGCGGUAAUACGGAGGGAGCUAGCGUUGUUCGGAAUUACUGGGCGUAAAGCGCGCGUAGGCGGUUACUCAAGUCAGAGGUGAAAGCCCGGGGCUCAACCCCGGAACUGCCUUUGAAACUAGGUGACUAGAAUCUUGGAGAGGCCAGUGGAAUUCCGAGUGUAGAGGUGAAAUUCGUAGAUAUUCGGAAGAACACCAGUGGCGAAGGCGACUGACUGGACAAGUAUUGACGCUGAGGUGCGAAAGCGUGGGGAGCAAACAGGAUUAGAUACCCGAGUAGUCCCUGUCUCUUAUAC
This 301-nucleotide ribosomal RNA is filed under the name uncultured bacterium. RNAcentral describes it as "partial 16S ribosomal RNA". It matches the Rfam family "Bacterial small subunit ribosomal RNA", at positions 509 to 807 of the family's 1533-position model. The record is from RNAcentral.